AGGGGUCUUUGUUAUGAGUGGUAUUAGGUCAAAAACCUGCUUGUCAAAAGCGGCAGGCGUGAAUGCGGGUUCAAGCCCGCGGCCCCUA
This 88-nucleotide transfer RNA is filed under the name Thauera sp. RNAcentral's name for it is "tRNA-OTHER". The record is from RNAcentral. Lineage: Bacteria; Pseudomonadati; Pseudomonadota; Betaproteobacteria; Rhodocyclales; Zoogloeaceae.